GUCCUCGUGGAGCACAGCAGCUCGCUCCUGCAGAUUAGAUCCAGAGUUCUGUCGCAAUGUGUACAUGGGAGAGUCGGUGGUUCGAACCCACCCGAGGACA
Molecule: non-coding RNA, 100 nt
Organism: Mycena capillaripes
Lineage: Eukaryota; Fungi; Basidiomycota; Agaricomycetes; Agaricales; Mycenaceae
Source: the annotation of a GenBank genome assembly